This is a small nuclear RNA of Carlito syrichta (Philippine tarsier), 104 nucleotides long. NCBI's taxonomy places the organism in Eukaryota, Metazoa, Chordata, Mammalia, Primates, Tarsiidae. The record is from Ensembl.
GUGUUUGCUUCAGCAGCAUAUAUACUAAAAUUAUCAAUACAGAGAAGAUUAGUGUGACCCCUGUACAACGAUGAUGUGACAUUUAUGAAGCGUUAAAAAAAAAA